Molecule: RNA transcript, 3117 nt
Organism: Populus nigra (black poplar)
Lineage: Eukaryota; Viridiplantae; Streptophyta; Magnoliopsida; Malpighiales; Salicaceae
Exons: 2
Source: RefSeq, a predicted model, not a curated record
UAUUAAGUUAAAUUUUUUUAAAAAAAAUGAAAGAUUCACCGUGCACUGUGAGUGAUUUUACUGGACUCAAGCAGUGUUUCUCGCGCAAAAUUUCCUUUGAUCUCGUGAGAGGUCUCUCCGGUUGUUGUUGCUUCUUUGGCCUUGGGUGCUGUUGCGAUUUCGUCUGGAUGCAGCUAGAUAAGUAACUAGAACCCUUCUGGUUGGUUUUCUAUUUUGUGGGGCUUUGGAACUUUCACUUCUAUGGGUUUUGUGUGGUUGGCUUUUUUUUCCUUAUUUUUUUUUAUUGUCAGUGGUGUAUCUGAGUGCCGAGAGAGUUUGGGGGUAUAAAAAAAAAAAAAUUGGAUUAUCUCCCAUAUUUUGCAUUGCAUCAUCUCUCUUCUGUUAUGAUUGCUUUUUUUUCCUGGUUCUCUCAUUUGCUAUGGUUAUUCUGCUUGAACCUGUUUUUUUGCCUCUGCUGCUUCUAGCUGGUGUUAGUUUUUCUUACAGGUUCUCUUUCUUUUAGGUGCUUUGUGUGGUUCUCCUGUGUCUGGUUGCCCUCUGCUGAUUUUCUUUCUGUUAUUGCUUCUUCUUUUUUGCUUUUUACGUCCUAAGAUGGUUCUUUGUUUUGUUGUACAUCCAAGGUUUCUUGAGCAUUGUGUUGUUUCAUGCUUGCACCCUAGGUGUUUGUCAAAAGGCCUGAGAGAAGGUUGUCUUUCUUUUUUCCCAUGCACUGCUUCUAUGUUUUUGGUUUUGUGUUGGCUUUCCACGGUGUUGCUAUUGGUCGUGCCUUGGUUUGUGAUUUGGGAGGUAAUUUGGUUGGCUCUUUAACUUGCUCCUCUGUUCCAUUUUCUGUUUGGUGUGAUGUGUUUGAUUUUAGGUGCUUCUUUUGGUUUACCUGUAUAAGAUUUCGACUCAAGUUUUUGUUUUUUUUUUUUCAAGUCAUGAAAAAGGUUGACCAAGCUUUGGUCAUUUAUUGCAUGUUAUGAUUAUUUUUUUUGUAUUUUUCAGGGUUAUAUGCUCAAGUUUUACCCAAUAUGUUGUGUAACUGGCUACGCCUGAAGAAAAAUGAAUCACGUUGCCACCAGAAUAAUCUAUGGACCAAUCACUUUGUUACAUUGCAGGUCAGUCCACGUCUUGCAAAGGAUAGAGAGAGAUUUCCUCCAAACAACAUCCUUUUUAUGUUAUUUGGGACAGGAUUGCUUUGGAUGAGCUGGACAUGCUUUAAUGGAGGAGAUCCUUGUCUAGUGAGCACUGUUAAUGGAGGAGAUCCUUGUCUAGUGAGCACUGAUGCUUCUUUGGCAGUCUUAAAUACUGUGGACUGGGAGUGUUUUCACUAUGGACUCAAGCAGUGUUUCUCACACUCACAAUCCACAGAAAAAUAUCAGAAUGUCUGAAUUCCUAUAUAAGGAUGCAGAUAUUGUUGCAAAGAUUGUGAUCGCGUUAAUUAUGUUUAUUGUUUAGGCCUAAUAAACACUUUCAUGAUGCAGUGUAUAUUAUGUCCUCCUGAGAUGCACCAGAAAACAUAUAUUACUGCGUAUCAUGUGGCUUCAAAUGCUGACAAUGAACAAUAGCACUAUAAAAAGGCUUCUGACUGGUUCAAAGAACUUCCAGUUGAUGGUCAAGUGGAGCUGGUAAGUAAGCUCUCUUCAAAUGUCAACUUCUGGACAGUUGAGAAGCUUCCAAAUGAGAGCCAUUAAGAUUUUAUAAACAGGACUUUCACUCAUCUUUUCACCUAACUCCCCCUGCCGAGACCAAACAAUUAUUUCUAUCAUUUGUUUGAUUAUGGGAUCAAGAGAACAGCUAUCGAUGGAAUCAAAAGGUGAAACUGGGGCAAGUAUAGAUGGCAAUUAAAUUAAUUUUUGGAUUGAUUGAAUAAUUUAUAAAAAGAGUGACGGUACUAUUUGUUCACUCUAAGCUUGAACUAUGAUUGUCUUCUAUGAUUUUUCUCAUAUUAUUCAAAACUUUAACUUCUGGCUUUGUGACUUGCAUGGAAUUGAUGUCUAUAUUCACAGGUGUAAUGGACUAGCCAUAUACUCAUGUAUGGAAUUUCAAUUUUGGUAAGUAUUGUGGCCUGUUGUUAAGGUGGGCUGUGUUCAUAAACUCAAAAACCACCAUACCAUCUCAUGAUUUUUUUUCCGACAUAAUCUCUUAAUUGGUCUUCAUAAUGUCAUGUGACAUACAUGACUUGCUGAAUGUUUUACACUAAAAACUUCAUAUUUAUUAAUUCAACUGUUAUUCUAUGCCUCUUUUUUUGUUGGCUUUACAUUAUCUAAACGUUGAUUCUUCAAUUUUGGGUUUCUGAUAUUCAGGCAAGAAUUAUGUUAUCUUCUAAAAGAUGAAAAAGAAGCUCGUUUUCAGUUUCGGAAUGUACAAAAGGAUUGAGCGAGCAAAACUUCUCGAGGAAUGCACUCCUCUAAAUUUUGCCUUGACAUAGCAAGUGACAAGCCCUCAUCAAAUUGCCUCAUUGAUGCCAUUGCUAGCCACUGUGUUCCGGUCAUCAUCAGUGAUGACAUUGAGUUCCCUUAUGAGGAUGUCAUUGAUUACUCCCAAUUCUGUAUAUCUGUUCGCACAUCAAAUGUUGUUAGAGAAAAGUUCCUCUUAAAUCUCAUCAGGAGUAUUAAGAAUGAUGAAUGGGCUAGAAUGUGGAAGAGGUUGAAAGAGGUAGAAAAUUUCUCUGAGUUUCCAAUAUCCAUCAAGGGAAGGUGAUGUAAUUCAAAUAAUAUGGCAAGUUGUAGCGAGAAAAGGCAAUGCCUUUGAUGAUUGGUCAUUAAAGGAUGUUGCAAAUUUUCUGCAAUGCCUUUGAUUUCUCUGCCAUGCGGCACUUUUCUGCUCUGGCAUGGAUAGGAAGGAACUGAAGCUCAGAGUUACUGGGAGGAUAUGGAAGGAACAACAAAAUCCAGAAACCGGAGUGUGCAUGCCAACCUUUGUAGCUAAAGCAAAAGCAAUUUUAAAGACAUCUACAAGAUUUUAUCUUAUACCUGUGCCAUCCUUGUCUUCUGUGUUGUAAUGGAUGGAAUUGAUGAAGCUCCUGUUUUUUUAUAAAUAAAUUUGUAUAAUGAGCGGCUAUUCUUCCAUGGAUUUUUGUUUGAUAGUACGCUUCAAGUUAAGAUUUAACGAAGCUGUUUUUUAUGACUCAAA